RNAcentral lists this ribosomal RNA (443 nucleotides) under uncultured bacterium. RNAcentral's name for it is "partial 16S ribosomal RNA". It matches the Rfam family "Bacterial small subunit ribosomal RNA", at positions 338 to 795 of the family's 1533-position model. The record is from RNAcentral.
CCUACGGGUGGCAGCAGUGGGGAAUAUUGGGCAAUGGGCGCAAGCCUGACCCAGCAACGCCGCGUGAAGGAAGAAGGCUUUCGGGUUGUAAACUUCUUUUCUCAGGGACGAAGAAAGUGACGGUACCUGAGGAAUAAGCUACGGCUAACUACGUGCCAGCAGCCGUGGUAAUACGUAGGUGGCAAGCGUUACGCGGUUUUAUUGGGUGUAAGGGGCGUGUAGGCGGGAGCGUAAGUCAGAUGUGAAAACUCAGGGCUCAACGCUGAGCGUGCAUUUGAAACUGUGUUUCUUGAGUGCUGGGGAGGCAGUCGGAAUGCCGGGUGUAGCGGUGAAAUGCAUAGAUAUACCGAGGAACACCAAUUGCGAAGGCGGAUUACUGGACAGUGACUGACGCUGAGGCGCGAAAGCGUGGGGAGCAAACAGGAUUAGAUACCCUUGUAGUC